Molecule: ribosomal RNA, 124 nt
Filed under: Acinetobacter celticus
Lineage: Bacteria; Pseudomonadati; Pseudomonadota; Gammaproteobacteria; Moraxellales; Moraxellaceae
Description: partial 16S ribosomal RNA
Rfam family: Bacterial small subunit ribosomal RNA (bases 43-124)
Source: RNAcentral
GAUGAGCCAAGAUUGGUGCCCUUUAAGGCACUAAGCAAUAUUAAACUGAAGAGUUUGAUCAUGGCUCAGAUUGAACGCUGGCGGCAGGCUUAACACAUGCAAGUCGAGCGGAGAUGAGGUGCUU